This is a long non-coding RNA of Leopardus geoffroyi (Geoffroy's cat), 1685 nucleotides long. RefSeq lists it as uncharacterized. Lineage: Eukaryota; Metazoa; Chordata; Mammalia; Carnivora; Felidae. The record is from RefSeq and is a predicted model, not a curated record. The transcript is spliced from 5 exons.
UAUAAUUAUUGAUAUGGUGACUAGUGAUAUAGUGAAUAUCUUUGUACACUUAUCUGAUGAUCUUCUUAAAGUGUUUCUUAGGAUAAAGUUCUAGAAAAGAAUAUGAAUUAUUAAAGAUUGCCCUAGCUGAGCCCCAUUCCAAUUGUAGCCUCUUUUCUUCCUCCAAAAGCAGCUACUGUCCUGAUUUCUAUUAUUAGAAUAUCCUAUAAUUAUUCACAUACAAUAAUUUCAGAAUAAUGAUAUCAAUACCAGCACAAGUUAUGACUACCAUUAACAGUUAAAAUUUGACAUAUGCUAUUCCUUUUCUACCUAUUUAUUUAUUUGUUUGUCUCAAGUUUUUAUUUAAUUUCCAGUUAGUUAACAUACAGUGUAAUAUUAGUUUCACCUAUAGGAUUUAGUGAUUUAUCUCUUAUAUAUAAUACCUGCUGCUCAUCACAAGUUCCCUCCUUAUGACCCAUCCCCCAUCUAGCCCGUCCCCCACCCACAACAACCCUCUGCUUGUUCUCUAUUGUUAAUAGUAUUUUAUGUCUGCUAAACCUACUUUUGAAACAACUAGGAAUCCAAUUAAUCAUUUUUGUCUGUCCAGAACAUAGUCAUCAUUUUCAAGUAACAGUAUUACAAGUUUUUUGGGUGAAACCAAUUCUCCCUUACUCUCAGUUCAUGGGAUAAUAAAACGACAAGGUAUGUAGUGUGGAAGAGACUAAGUUGUUAUAUGUAGGAGGGCAAUGAUGAUCUCUCUGUUCUAGGCUGGGAAGUCUAGAGUUCUGGUUAUAUGGUAGCAAAACAUCUGUUAAAUGUUAAUCCCUUUAUCUUAGAACACAGAUAAUAAGACAACCAAGGUUAGAGUUUCGGGACCUGGUUGAGAAAUUUCGAUGACCCCUUCUAUCUGUGAACAAGUAAAUCUUUAUGGCUUACAGUCUGAUAAUAUUAAUCCUUAGAUGAUUGAAAAAAUUGAAAUAUAUGUCUGAGGCUAAUGUUAGUUUCAACAAAUGCAAAAAUAUGGGAGUGCAAAUGUAGGAUUAUACUGGAACUUGGAGAAAGUCUCCCAAGCUCUCUCUGCUAUUUAUUUCUCCUUCCAGCCAAAGGAAACAAUCACGACCAUUGUAAAGAGUUAUAAAUUGAAAUGUAGCCCGGUUUAAAGAGGCAAUUUGUACCAGCACAUCUCAUGCUAUGGUGUACAUCGUUCCAGUCUACGGCAAGUAGAAAGCACUUGGGCCUUGGACCCUCAGAAAUUGACGCUUCUGAAAUCUACAUUCAAGGAUUAUGAUACCGCAAGAUCGCUGUCUUUAGUUACUAAUUUAUGGGAUUAGAUUAAUGCAAAGCUAGAAAAAGCCCACAAGCAUUUGGAAAAUUGUGUUGGCUGAGAAAUAUUACUUCCAUUUUCCCUUCCAAAAUUAUCUCCAUGCCCAUAAGUCCCUGUGUUUUGGGAGGGGCUGGCUCAGUGCUUAGUCUCCAGUCCAGAUGCCUUAUUGAACCAGACUUGGUCAAUUAAGUUUCCACAUCAUCUUGACCACAGGGAUUGUUUCAAAGAUGGACACAUGAUCCAAAAUAGCCAAUAAUACAAGAUGUAAAAACUUUUUCUGCUGUGGUUGAGGUACUAAAAGAACUUAAGUUUAGGGAAUGUGGAUACCACUCAUAGUCAAACUUUGCUUUUUAAAUGAAUCAAUUUUAAAAAGUAGAUGUGA